Long non-coding RNA from Suricata suricatta (meerkat), 455 nucleotides. RefSeq lists it as uncharacterized. NCBI's taxonomy places the organism in Eukaryota, Metazoa, Chordata, Mammalia, Carnivora, Herpestidae. The record is from RefSeq and is a predicted model, not a curated record. The transcript has 3 exons.
UUAAGUUAAAAUGAGGCCAUUAGGGUGUGCUCUAAUUUAAUCUGAUUAGUGUCCCUACAGGAAGAAGAAAUUUGGAUACACAAAACAAACACCAGGAGUGCAUGUCCACUAAGGAAAGACCAUGUAGGGACACAGUUGGGAGGCAGCCAUCAGCAAGCCAAGGAGAGAGGUCUCAGGAGAAAUCAACUCUGCUCACACCUGGAUCUUGGACUUCUAACUUUCAGAACUGUGUGUGAUGACACGUUUUCCAUGAAUAUUCUGAUGCAGGGAUGGGCAUUUGCUCAAUGCAAGGUUCCUUAGGACUUCCUCUCCAGAUACCACUGAAGUUCACCAAUAACUGAAUGAGAGCAGAGACCAGGUAUGUCAUGAGACUCAAACCAAACUGCUCUACUAUUGGAGAGGUCAUCCAGCUUCGUUGGAAGAAGAGCUGUGAAUGACAGCCUAAACAAAGUUUU